GAGAAAGAGAAAGAGAGAGAACAGGCAAGGGAUAGAGAGAGAGAGAGAGCAGAGACUACAGAGAGAGAGAGAGAGAGAUAGAGAUAGAGAGAGCACAGAGAGAGACGUUUGAGAGUCCGUUUAUUCGGUUAAGUUUUAUAUGAAGGAAAAAGCAUAGAGCCAUGGUGUCGGACCAAGAGAUAGCAAAAGGAGUGGAGACUGUGCUCCGUCAAUCUGACCCUAACGACGUCACCACCAUAAACGGCGUCGUGCAACAGCUGGAAGCGAAGCUAGGGUUAGACCUAUCCCACAAAGCCAGCUUCAUCAGCGACCAGAUCAACCUCCUCCUUCUCCGACCACAUACCCAACCCCAACCCCAACCCCAGCCCCAACCCUACCCUCCUAAAGACCAUUUUGCCCUCCAACAAUACCCCCAAUUCCCUCCCCAUUUUGCCCUUCACCAACACCAACACCAACACCACCUCCAACACCCCCAAAGCCACCUCUACCGCGCCGUCGAAGAGCUCAACUUCCGCAACCCUCUGCCGCCGCAGUCGUCUCAGUCGCGGCCACAACCACCGCUGCCCAAACGGGAAGCAAAUGUUCAGAAUGAGGCCACGAAUGCCUCUCCAAUCCCGAAGGAAAGUGCUCCUGCUGGAACCAAAAGAAGAGGUGGGCCAGGGGGUCUAAACAAGGUUUGUGGUGUUUCACCUGAACUUCAGACCAUUGUUGGAGAGCCAGCCCUGGCAAGAACCGAGAUUGUGAAGCAGCUGUGGGCAUAUAUUAGGAAAAACAACCUCCAGGAUCCAAGUAACAAGAGAAAGAUAAUCUGUGAUGAUGCUUUGCGUCUGGUUUUUGAAACAGACUGCACCGAUAUGUUCAAGAUGAAUAAACUGCUUGCUAAACAUAUUAUUCCACUUGGACCGAAAAAAGAAUCAGUUCAAUCUAAAAGAUUGAAGGUAGAUGUCGAGUCUGCACCUGAAAGUACAGAACCUGGUCCAGCUCCUGUGAUAAUAUCUGAAGCACUUGCCAAAUUUUUUGGUACUGGAGAAAGGGAGAUGCUCCAAUCAGAGGCCUUAAGCCGCAUUUGGGAGUACAUAAAGGUUAACCAAUUGGAGGAUCCUCUGAACUCAAUGGCAAUAUUGUGUGAUGCAAAGCUUCAGAAGCUUCUUGGAUGUGAAAGCAUUUCCGCAUUGGGUGUACCUGAGAUGUUGGUUCGCCAUCAUCUAUUCAAGCGGUGAUGAUGUCUGCUUAUGUAAACUGUUUCAUUUUGUAGGGAACCAUUAAAUUGAUAAGGUGUUUUAUAUUACCAUGUAUUUUCAUCAUUCUUACCUCAAUGACAGGUCUGAAGGGUUAUUGGCAUAUAGUUGUUUCUGAUGCCAUGAUGGAUGAUAGCUAAUGAACAUGUUGAUCUUUUAUUUUUUUUUGUUUGUUUAAUUCUUAGUUACUUCUUUGUUUAUUGACGUGGUUAGAUGUUAUGAUGUGACUCAAAUUAGUUAUUUUCCAGUAGAAUGAAAAUGUACCUUGGGCUAAUGGCAAGAGAUAUGUUGUAAUUAUUCUGCCAUUAGCCUGGUUUAGGUUUUGUUGCUCAUCUUAUGUUGUUUUCCCAUGCAAAUACCUAACCGGGCUUUGGGAUGGAUUAGAAGGUGAAGCUGAGUGGAAUGGUAAAUUCUUUCAACUUCUUGGUAGUGAUCAGUAAAUGUAUCGUGUAGAUGCAGCACCUGUUCAUUUUUGUGAAGAAAGAAUUGCUUUAUCUUGUUUUACGUCUGGUUUACCUGCUAAGAUGGGCAAAACUGGAGCUUGGCAUUGGCCAAAAGUUGAUGUGUUUGACAAAAUCUGUUCAUUUUGUGAAGAAAGAAUUGCUUUA
Camellia sinensis is the source of this 1846-nucleotide RNA transcript. It is a transcript of the gene named SWIB complex BAF60b domain-containing protein, with no coding region annotated. Lineage: Eukaryota; Viridiplantae; Streptophyta; Magnoliopsida; Ericales; Theaceae. The record is from RefSeq and is a predicted model, not a curated record.